AUGUUCUCUAGGCCUUUUAGGAAG
RNAcentral lists this non-coding RNA (24 nucleotides) under Cricetulus griseus (Chinese hamster). The record is from RNAcentral. Lineage: Eukaryota; Metazoa; Chordata; Mammalia; Rodentia; Cricetidae.